CAGUAAAGCGCUGUAUAUUGGCCUGAGGAAUCAUUUGAAAAACCUCAUAUGGGUCAACUCUUUAGGUCAAAAAGUCUGCGAUGUGCCUUUAAAAAAUUGUGGUCUCUAAAAUAGCAACUUUUGCUGUCCCAAAUGUAUAGAUAAAGCCUUCAGGCCUCUUUAGUCUUGGAUGAAGAAAAAUCUAAACCGGAGACCAUUGAAAUGAUACUUGUCUUCUAAGACUUCUAGGUGUCUUUUCUCUUUGUCCCAGGAUUUAUGUUUGCUGACAGAUUCAAUAAAUAAUAUAGGUUAAAGACCUUGUCAUCCCACCAGAGACGGGGUCAUUACAGAGAGUGUGGUGACAAAAUCUAAUCUCCUUCAUUUUUCAAAUGAAAGAUCUACACCAGAUCGUUGACGGAACAACUUUCAGAGAAAUUCUGUUGACAAAGCAGGUUUCAAAGUUCUCAACUCAUUCCUGCUCGUGUGCAGUGCACAGCUCACUUCCGACCCCUGCUUGGUUUUGGUUUUGCUGAAACUGGAACCUGGCUGGUAAAUAAAACAUGAGUUCUGUGCAGCUUGCAGAGUUCUUUCAGCGGGACAAGAGGUGAAAGGCGACAUUCUUCCUUAACAACAAGAUCUGGACUGAGAUUGAGACACACGGAGAACACAAAGACGUAAAGCAUCUAAUAGGAGAACCAGAGCCUAUGGAACAGGAUGAUCAAGGCAAAGGAGCAGCACUGUGAUCCUCUACCAGUGUUUGGGAAGCCGUGGUACUGGCAGCGCAGGGACAGCACCAUGGAGAGCACCCGCAGCCUGGCACAAGUCAUCCUGGAGAUGCGGGAUGAGAUCAAGAAGUUGGAGGCUGAGAAUCAGGAGCUGAGGAGUAGCUGGCCUCAGCGUUCCUCUGGAGCUGGAGCAGUGAUGGAGGAAAACCCCUAUCUGAACCUGAGGCGGAACGUAUCUGCACCCACACUGGAGAGACAAUACAAGGAGCCCACAGUCAUGACUGUUCGAAGAUACUCUAUGAGUCCCAACCUACUGGGGGUGACCAUGAGGGAGGGGGGCACUGACAGAGGCCAACGUGCUCAGUCUGGAUGGGGAAAGCUGCAACAUGAAAUCCAGCAUGGGUUUAGCGUCUUCAGUAGCUCAGUUAUAGAAGAAGUAGGAAAAGUUAGCAACCGCCACUCCCUGCAGGAGUAUGUUCAAAGAAACAGGUAAUAAGAAGCACGUUAAUGUCAAAACAGCUGUUGAAAGUAUUAUUGUUUGUUUUUUCUUAGAUUAUUUAUUUAUUUAUUGAUUUUGUAAUUCAAUUCUCAUUCUUCAGCCACCAUUCGGAAUCAUUCUGUCACUCAAAACUCCUCUUUCUCCAAAGGGCCAAGGUUAAAACUGUCACAUUUCUACUUCCUGUGGAUGAUAUUUACACAAGCCGGCCUGCUCUGACGAAGCAACAGGAGGAGCCUAAACUAACACCCCUGACCUCCAUUCCAGAGACUGAUUCCUGUGUGCAAAACUCGUGACCAGAGAGAAAAAGUGUUCUGGUAAAAUGAGCCUUUCUGACCGAAGACACAAUGUUCUUCUUUUUCUAGGCCAGCGCCGAGUGGAUGCUUUAAUGUGAGAACUGGUAGCUCGAUUUUUAUCACACCUGACCCCACAGACGACUCUAGUUACAGGUGUGGUUUUCAUCUGACCAUGGCAGUCCAUCCAGGCCUGGUGAACAGUGAUGAGACACGAGGCCUGAUGCUGUGAGGAUCAGGUGUCUGCACUCCUUUCCCCACACCGACUCUUAUUUUAUAGUAACAGGCACACCUGCAGGUGACGGCUCUUUUUCGGACAGUUGCGGGUGCCGACUCCGACGUCGUGAGAAGCUUUAGAGUCAUUUAUUAUUCAGGUGAAGGUGUGUUUUCGCACAGUGUUACUAAAAAGAUUGAAUGACAUUAACGUUAUUUUCCUAUAUAAAAUAAAACAGCUUUUGGGGGGUUUUUUUUUAGCUCA
Long non-coding RNA from Gouania willdenowi (blunt-snouted clingfish), 1971 nucleotides. Ensembl lists it as uncharacterized. The record is from Ensembl. Lineage: Eukaryota; Metazoa; Chordata; Actinopteri; Blenniiformes; Gobiesocidae.